Molecule: ribosomal RNA, 787 nt
Filed under: uncultured bacterium
Lineage: Bacteria
Description: bacterial SSU rRNA
Rfam family: Bacterial small subunit ribosomal RNA
Source: RNAcentral
UAGAGUUUGAUCCUGGCUCAGAAUCAACGCUGGCGGCGCGCCUAACACAUGCAAGUCGAACGAGAAAGUGGAGCAAUCCAUGAGUAAAGUGGCGUACGGGUGAGUAACACGUGGAUCAUCUGCCCUUUUGUGGGGAAUACCGAUGGGAAACCGUCGACAAUACCGCAUAAGCCCGAGAGGGGAAAGCAGCAAUGCGCAGAAGGAGGAGUCCGCGGUCGAUUAGCUAGUUGGUAGGGUAAUGGCCUACCAAGGCUGUGAUCGAUAGCCGGCCUGAGAGGGCACACGGCCACACUGGCACUGAAACACGGGCCAGACUCCUACGGGAGGCAGCAGUGGGGAAUCUUGCACAAUGGGGGAAACCCUGAUGCAGCGACGCCGCGUGAGCGAUGAAGCCCUUCGGGGUGUAAAGCUCUUUCGGCAGGGAAGAUUAUGACGGUACCUGCAGAAGCAGCUGCGGCUAACUACGUGCCAGCAGCCGCGGUAAUACGUAGGCAGCAAGCGUUGUUCGGAGUUACUGGGCGUAAAGGGUGCGUAGGCGGCCCUGUAAGUAUGGUGUGAAAUCUCCCGGCUUAACUGGGAGGGUGCGCUAUAGACUGCGGGGCUCGAGUGUGGGAGAGGAAAGUGGAAUUCCUGGUGUAGCGGUGAAAUGCGUAGAUAUCAGGAGGAACACCGGUGGUGUAAACGGCUUUCUGGACCAUAACUGACGCUGAGGCACGAAAGCGUGGGUAGCAAACAGGAUUAGAUACCCUGGUAGUCCACGCCCUAAACGAUGCACAUUUGGUGUGGG